RNAcentral lists this transfer RNA (85 nucleotides) under Pedobacter sp. RNAcentral describes it as "tRNA-Leu". It matches the Rfam family "tRNA". From Rfam's summary of the family: Transfer RNA (tRNA) molecules are approximately 80 nucleotides in length. Their secondary structure includes four short double-helical elements and three loops (D, anti-codon, and T loops). RNAcentral also lists the same sequence under 1 other name. Lineage: Bacteria; Pseudomonadati; Bacteroidota; Sphingobacteriia; Sphingobacteriales; Sphingobacteriaceae. The record is from RNAcentral.
GCGGAAGUGGUGAAAUUGGUAUACACGCAACCUUGAGGUGGUUGUGCCUCACGGCAUGAGGGUUCAAGUCCCUCCUUCCGCACCA